GAUGAACGCUGGCGGCGUGCCUAAUACAUGCAAGUCGAGCGAACAGACGAGGAGCUUGCUCCUCUGACGUUAGCGGCGGACGGGUGAGUAACACGUGGAUAACCUACCUAUAAGACUGGGAUAACUUCGGGAAACCGGAGCUAAUACCGGAUAAUAUAUUGAACCGCAUGGUUCAAUAGUGAAAGACGGUUUUGCUGUCACUUAUAGAUGGAUCCGCGCCGCAUUAGCUAGUUGGUAAGGUAACGGCUUACCAAGGCAACGAUGCGUAGCCGACCUGAGAGGGUGAUCGGCCACACUGGAACUGAGACACGGUCCAGACUCCUACGGGAGGCAGCAGUAGGGAAUCUUCCGCAAUGGGCGAAAGCUUGACGGAGCAACGCCGCGUGAGUGAUGAAGGUCUUCGGAUCGUAAAACUCUGUUAUUAGGGAAGAACAAAUGUGUAAGUAACUAUGCAUGUCUUGACGGUACCUAAUCAGAAAGCCACGGCUAACUACGUG
This 497-nucleotide ribosomal RNA is filed under the name uncultured bacterium. Its description in RNAcentral is "partial 16S ribosomal RNA". It matches the Rfam family "Bacterial small subunit ribosomal RNA", at positions 28 to 507 of the family's 1533-position model. The record is from RNAcentral.